GUCCAGGGGGCCGCCUUCGCCACCGGUAUUCCUCCAGAUCUCUACGCAUUUCACCGCUACACCUGGAAUUCUACCCCCCUCUACAAGACUCUAGCCUGCCAGUUUCGAAUGCAGUUCCCAGGUUGAGCCCGGGGAUUUCACAUCCGACUUGACAGACCGCCUGCGUGCGCUUUACGCCCAGUAAUUCCGAUUAACGCUUGCACCCUCCGUAUUACCGCGGCUGCUGGCACGGAGUUAGCCGGUGCUUCUUCUGCGAGUAACGUCAAUCGCCAAGGUUAUUAACCUUAACGCCUUCCUCCUCGCUGAAAGUACUUUACAACCCGAAGGCCUUCUUCAUACACGCGGCAUGGCUGCAUCAGGCUUGCGCCCAUUGUGCAAUAUUCCCCACUGCUGCCUCCCGUAGGAGUCUGGACCGUGUCUCAGUUCCAGUGUGGCUGGUCAUCCUCUCAGACCAGCUAGGGAUCGUCGCCUAGGUGAGCCAUUACCCCACCUACUAGCUAAUCCCAUCUGGGCACAUCUGAUGGCAUGAGGCCCGAAGGUCCCCCACUUUGGUCUUGCGACGUUAUGCGGUAUUAGCUACCGUUUCCAGUAGUUAUCCCCCUCCAUCAGGCAGUUUCCCAGACAUUACUCACCCGUCCGCCGCUCGUCACCCGAGAGCAAGCUCUCUGUGCUACCGCUCGACUUGCAUGUGUUAGGCCU
Molecule: ribosomal RNA, 699 nt
Filed under: Klebsiella aerogenes
Lineage: Bacteria; Pseudomonadati; Pseudomonadota; Gammaproteobacteria; Enterobacterales; Enterobacteriaceae
Description: partial 16S rRNA
Source: RNAcentral